RNAcentral lists this ribosomal RNA (341 nucleotides) under uncultured bacterium. Its description in RNAcentral is "bacterial SSU rRNA". It matches the Rfam family "Bacterial small subunit ribosomal RNA", at positions 29 to 363 of the family's 1533-position model. The record is from RNAcentral.
AACGAACGCUGGCGGCGUGGUUUAGGCAUGCAAGUCGAGCGAGAAAGUCCUUCGGGACGAGUACAGCGGCGAAAGGGUGAGUAAUAUAUAGGUAACCUACCUCUUGGACUCGGAUAAUUCCUGGAAACGGGUUGUAAUACGAGAUCGUCCUAUUGGGUCGCAUGGCCCGACUGGUAAAUGGUAGCUCUGCUUCUGCCGAGAGAGGGGCCUAUAUCCUAUUAGCUAGUUGGUGAGGUAAUGGCUCACCAAGGCUUUGAUGGGUAGCCGGACUGAGAGGUUGGCCGGUCACACUGGGACUGAGACACUGCCCAGACUCCUACGGGAGGCUGCAGUCGAGAACU